Molecule: ribosomal RNA, 580 nt
Filed under: uncultured bacterium
Lineage: Bacteria
Description: bacterial SSU rRNA
Rfam family: Bacterial small subunit ribosomal RNA
Source: RNAcentral
GACGGGGGCCCGCACAAGCGGAGGAACAUGUGGUUUAAUUCGAUGAUACGCGAGGAACCUUACCCGGGCUCGAACGGCUGGUGAACAAUCCAGAGAUGGUGCGGUCCUUCGGGACGCCAGUCGAGGUGCUGCAUGGUUGUCGUCAGCUCGUGCCGUGAGGUGUCGGCUCAAGUGCCAUAACGAGCGCAACCCUUGCCGUCAGUUACCAUCAAGUAGUGUUGGGGACUCUGGCGGGACUGCCACCGCAAGGUGUGAGGAAGGGGGGGAUGACGUCAAAUCAGCACGGCCCUUACGUCCGGGGCGACACACGUGUUACAAUGGCGGCCACAGAGGGGCACUACCUGGUGACAGGAUGGGAAUCUCGAAAAGCCGUCUCAGUCCGGAUCGGAGUCUGCAACCCGACUCCGUGAAGCUGGAUUCGCUAGUAAUCGCGCAUCAGCCAUGGCGCGGUGAAUACGUUCCCGGGCCUUGUACACACCGCCCGUCAAGCCAUGAAAGUCUGGGGCGCCUGAAGUCCGUGACCGAGAGGAGCGGCCUAGGGCGAAACAGGUAAUUGGGGCUAAGUCGUAACAAGGGUAGG